GAUGAACGCUAGCUACAGGCUUAACACAUGCAAGUCGAGGGGAAACGACAUCGAAAGCUUGCUUUUGAUGUGCGUCGACCGGCGCACGUGUGAGUAACGCGUAUCCAACCUGCUCAUCACUGGGUAAUAACCUUGCGAAAGUAAUACUAAUACCCAAUGACAUCCCACGAAGACAUCUGAAUUUGAUUAAUGAUUUAUCUGUGAUGGAUGGGGAUGCGUCUGAUUAGCUUGUUGGCGGGGUAACGGCCCACCAAGGCAACGAUCAGUAGGGGUUCUGAGAGGAAGGUCCCCCACAUUGGAACUGAGACACGGACCACACUCCUACGGGAGGCAGCAGUGAGGAAUAUUAGUCAAUGGGCGAGAGCCUGAACCAGCCAAGUAGCGUGAAGGAGGACGGCCCUAUGGGUUGUAAACUGCUUUUAUAAGGGAAUAAAGUGGGUAUCGUGAGACUUUUUGAAUGUACCUAAUGAAUAAGGACCGGCUAAUUCCGUG
Molecule: ribosomal RNA, 492 nt
Filed under: uncultured bacterium
Lineage: Bacteria
Description: partial 16S ribosomal RNA
Rfam family: Bacterial small subunit ribosomal RNA
Source: RNAcentral